GAUUAACGCUGGCGGCAUGCCUAAUACAUGCAAAUCGAACGAAGCCUUUUGGCUUAGUGGUGAACGGGUGAGUAACGCGUGAGGAACCUGCCUCAAAGAGGGGGACAACAGUUGGAAACGACCGCUAAUACCGCAUAAGCCCACGGCUCGGCAUCGAGCAGAGGGAAAAGGAGUGAUCCGCUUUGAGAUGGCCUCGCGUCCGAUUAGCUAGUUGGUGAGGUAACGGCCCACCAAGGCGACGAUCGGUAGCCGGACUGAGAGGUUGAACGGCCACAUUGGGACUGAGACACGGCCCAG
RNAcentral lists this ribosomal RNA (297 nucleotides) under uncultured bacterium. RNAcentral's name for it is "partial 16S ribosomal RNA". It matches the Rfam family "Bacterial small subunit ribosomal RNA", at positions 28 to 334 of the family's 1533-position model. The record is from RNAcentral.